This 495-nucleotide ribosomal RNA is filed under the name uncultured Clostridium sp. RNAcentral's name for it is "bacterial SSU rRNA". It matches the Rfam family "Bacterial small subunit ribosomal RNA", at positions 903 to 1382 of the family's 1533-position model. The record is from RNAcentral. Lineage: Bacteria; Bacillati; Bacillota; Clostridia; Eubacteriales; Clostridiaceae.
CCCGCUCAGAAACUAAAUAGAAUUGACGGGGGCCCGGCACAAGCAGCGGAGCAUGUGGUUUAAUUCGAAGCAACGCGAGGAACCUUACCUAGACUUGACAUCUCCUGAAUUACUCUGUAAUGGAGGAAGCCACUUCGGUGGCAGGAAGACAGGUGGUGCAUGGUUGUCGUCAGCUCGUGUCGUGAGAUGUUGGGUUAAGUCCCGCAACGAGCGCAACCCUUAUUGUUAGUUGCUACCAUUAAGUUGAGCACUCUAGCAAGACUGCCGUGGUUAACGCGGAGGAAGGUGGGGAUGACGUCAAAUCAUCAUGCCCCUUAUGUCUAGGGCUACACACGUGCUACAAUGGCGAGUACAAAGAGACGCAAAGCCGCGAGGUGGAGCAAAACUUAUAAAACUCGUCUCAGUUCGGAUUGCAGGCUGAAACUCGCCUGCAUGAAGCUGGAGUUGCUAGUAAUCGCGAAUCAGAAUGUCGCGGUGAAUACGUUCCCGGGCCUU